UACGUAGGGCGCAAGCGUUAUCCGGAAUUAUUGGGCGUAAAGAGCUCGUAGGCGGUUUGUCGCGUCUGCCGUGAAAGUCCGGGGCUUAACCCCGGAUCUGCGGUGGGUACGGGCAGACUAGAGUGAUGUAGGGGAGACUGGAAUUCCUGGUGUAGCGGUGAAAUGCGCAGAUAUCAGGAGGAACACCGAUGGCGAAGGCAGGUCUCUGGGCAUUAACUGACGCUGAGGAGCGAAAGCAUGGGGGAGCGAACAGG
This 254-nucleotide ribosomal RNA is filed under the name uncultured bacterium. Its description in RNAcentral is "partial 16S ribosomal RNA". It matches the Rfam family "Bacterial small subunit ribosomal RNA", at positions 524 to 776 of the family's 1533-position model. The record is from RNAcentral.